Pelobates cultripes (western spadefoot toad) is the source of this 331-nucleotide non-coding RNA. The record is from the annotation of a GenBank genome assembly. NCBI's taxonomy places the organism in Eukaryota, Metazoa, Chordata, Amphibia, Anura, Pelobatidae.
GAGGUAGCCAACACUGUUUAUAUAUAUAUAUAUAUAUAUAUAUAUAUAUAUAUAUAAUUUUAUUUUUAUUUUUUUUCUCAAUUGGGGUAGCCCCCAAAAUAUUGGGACAUAUAAAAAAGAAAACUCACAGGAACUUUGUUGACUCUAGAGAACCUUGGGCAAAUCGCACAUCCCCGUGGCGGCGACUUUGCAUGCAGAUGUGCCUACCAUGGUGACCACGGGUAACGGGGGAAUCAAGAUUCCAUUCCAUACAGGGACCCUGAGAAACAGCUACCACAUGCAAGGAAGACAGCAGGCGCGCAAAUGACCCACUCCCGACGCGGGAAGGUAG